RNAcentral lists this microRNA (22 nucleotides) under Picea abies (Norway spruce). RNAcentral describes it as "pab-miR11482". The record is from miRBase by way of RNAcentral. Lineage: Eukaryota; Viridiplantae; Streptophyta; Pinopsida; Pinales; Pinaceae.
UAACCAGUCCUUCUGCAAUCCA